Molecule: long non-coding RNA, 1304 nt
Organism: Zonotrichia leucophrys gambelii
Lineage: Eukaryota; Metazoa; Chordata; Aves; Passeriformes; Passerellidae
Exons: 3
Source: RefSeq, a predicted model, not a curated record
AAAUUUAUUUUAUAUGCACACACUCCAAAGCGUUUUACUGCCUUCCAGUUUGGCAGUACUACAUUAUAUUAUUUUUCAUGGCUGUGAGAACUUCCUUUAAAAAAUAAGUGUGCAUGUUCAGGACACCAGGCACCAAUGAACAGACAUGUGCAUACCUGUGCAUAAGCAGGGAAGGAAAUGCUCUCAGCUAGCGUUGCCAGCUAUAAAGCUGGUGAGUGAAACAGAAAAAUGGUGGAACCGUGAGAGAAUCAUGAAGUAGUCAAUGUUGGAAGAGGUCUUUGAAGAUCAUCUGCACCAAGAUCUCCAACAUUUAAGGUUACAUACAUCAACUUCAGAAGAGACUUCAGACACGUAAUGUCAAUGUUUAAGCGUCAGCUCCCAAGGAAUGCAAGAAAAACAAAGAAAAAAUCCUGGUGUUACAAAUGCCACUCACUAUAAAAGUUCUCAGAAUUGGGGUGAUAAGCAUGAGGACUUUCCAAGGCUGUGCAGUUGAGGUGUGUUACAUCAACACUUCAGCUGGGGUUUGUGCUUCUAGAGCAGAUUUCCUCACUGUCUUCAUUAAGUGAGACUUUACUUGCUAGUCUCUCCACAGCAAAUGCCUUUGGAGAGAGCAUGCAGACCACAGGAUCAGACUAGAGCAUGUCAGAGAUGGGAAAAACCCUGAACUAUAAAUUAUGAGAUCUUCACAUCUUCUGCACCAACUACUUCUCUCCAAGUACUCACUCUUGUCCCCACACUCGUCAUUGUGGGUACAGCUGACAGGCACUAUCUCCAUUAAUACUGUUUCCAAGAAGGAAGGAGUUAAGAUUAUUUAUGUUACAAUAAUUUCUUGCAUCUUCCCUUUGAGCUGCUGCAAAGAACCAGAACAGGAAUUAAGUCAAAGUCCUUGAAGGUAGUCUUUUUACUUUUCCCACCACUUCAGCUGUCACCCCAGCAGAUGAGAAAGCUCACGAAUAGCACAGUGCUCCAGAUGCCAUUUAUUCUGAGGAUUUGUUUUUGAAAAAUGCUUAGUAUCAAUUUAAUCCUUGUGCUUUCAGGAGACCAAGAGGGAAAUGUGUGGGAUUUUUUCCUCUGAUAAUUAAUAUGCAAUUAAAAAGGGGGGAAGAAAAAUGGAUGGUAAACCGUCCCAUCACUCAGCAUUCCCCGUCUUCCACCCCACUCUCCCCCUCAAAAAAAAAAAAAAAACAACCCACAACUCUAGGACAAGUUUGAAAGAAGUUUUGAAAACAAAUUAAUCAUUUUGGGGUUGGGCUGUAGCAGUGCUUAUAUACACUAAGAAAUAAAUGUGAUAAACAAGAGCUGGU